This is a long non-coding RNA of Psammomys obesus (fat sand rat), 1887 nucleotides long. RefSeq lists it as uncharacterized. The transcript is spliced from 3 exons. The record is from RefSeq and is a predicted model, not a curated record. Lineage: Eukaryota; Metazoa; Chordata; Mammalia; Rodentia; Muridae.
CACUUUGACCCUCGGCACACAGCUCCUGAAGCUGAGCCGGUGAGAGUUGAGGACGCUGGGGGACGCGCUGAGCACUUUCUUCUUCUCAAUAUAAAGCUGGAGCGCAAGAAUCCCUGUUCCAGCCGGGCCUGGUGGCUCAUGCAGGCCUAUCUCUGUGGGUUCGAGGCCAGCCUGCUCUACAUAGUAUUUCUGUGAUCCACCUGCCUCUGCCUCCCAGCGUGCUGGGAUUACAGGCAUGUGCCGCCGCGCCCGGCUAAAACAUUUUAAGAAAUGGAUAUUCAUGGUAAUAACGUGAGCUGACAUGUCAGUUCUGGGCACAGCUACCGUAGCCUGUGUCUCUGUACAGUAAAGCGAGAGCCUUGUUCAGCUCAUCCGCUUAGGAUCAGCUUUUACUUCUAAGACGUGUGCCAGAAAGUAUGUCAGGAAAGAGCGUUCCUGACUGGCCUGUUGGUGCUGCCCUCACUCACUCAGCCACCGACUGGGCCCAGCCAGCUGCUGAGGCAGCCCACGCCCUGGAAGGGGCUCAGGCUCGGCUCCUGCAGGCCAGCCGGAGGACAGCGAUAAUCCGGAGCGUAAGCAGGCCACCGUCCUGAAAUAGCUGACCAGACGAGGCCGGAGAGAGCCCGCUGUCCCGCUAAUGAGGACCCAAGCCUCCUUACGGUAAAAAUAAAGAGCGCGCCUCGUGCCCUGGUUUAGUGGCAGCUGAUUGGCACUGCGGCCAGGAGAGCGCUUAAAUUAACACUCAAGGACACUGGCUCGCCUCACAGAAGCAGGGUGAAUUCAGACCCCUGAGGUUACGUAAGGAGUAAGAGCCUGAGGCCAUUUACGCGGCGUGUGCUGUUUGUGUCCCCUGUGCUGUACGUGCUGUUCCCGGUGUGCGUGUGGUGUGUACGGGGUACGUGUGUGGUGUGUGUAGUGUUUAUGUGUGGUGUUUGUGAUGUGUGUAUUGUUUGUAACGUGUGUCGUGUGUACACGCAUGUGAUGUGUGUACAGUGUGGUUGUGAUGUGUGGUGUGAACAAGCAUACAUGUGUGUAAUGUGUGUUACCUGUGUGGUGUGUGGUGUUUGCGAAGGGUGGGGUGUGCGUGUGUGCACGUGUUGUGGCCGCUCGGCCUGGAAGUACGAAGAGGUGCGUUCGGCCGCAGUGACAACAGUACUAGGGUGGUGCAGGUCAGCCUGGCGCCCGCCCGUGGAGCGGUGCCCUCCCGGGUGGAGCCUCACCUCGGCUCCCCCGCAGGCACCCCGCAUUCCGCGCCGGCGUCGGGGAGAGGUGGGGGAGCGGGGCCCGGGGGACACAGAGCCCCCGCAGCCCCCGGCCCCGGCCCGGGUCGGCUUCCGAUGUUGCCCCAGCUUUCUCCUUCCUCCUGCGCUAGGCUGGGCGGCGCCUGCCUCUGCUCCCAGGACCAGGACACGCCAGGCUGUCCUCGGAGCACUGACACGGAACGCCCACUGGGGGGCGGCACACCGCUGCGUAGUGAGCACACGCGCGGACUCCGAGGCCGCCCCGGAGCCUGUCUGGGUGGGUCUGGUCUUGGGGCAGGUUUAACUCUGCUAACGUUAUUAGUAACUUCUCUCCAUCAAAGAGGCUCCUCUUCACAGCAAGUGCAGCGCGACACAGGAAAGCCACAACUGGACACAGGUCGUCGGCAUGACCAGCCAGCACCAGACGUCUUGGCUGUGCAACAGUGAGGACUGCAUUUCGGAUCACCCAGGCCCCAGCGUCCCUCUGUAGCAGCCCAGACUGUAGGAGCCUGCUAACAAGUGUGCAGAGGUUUCGGGAGGAGGCCUUGUGAGCGGCUGUGAGCAGGGACUGCGGCCGGGAAUCAGGAGCUGUGUGGCCCUGGAGACUCGUCUCUGAGCUCUGCAAAAAUAAAGGCUUUAAGCUGGA